This 492-nucleotide ribosomal RNA is filed under the name uncultured bacterium. RNAcentral describes it as "partial 16S ribosomal RNA". It matches the Rfam family "Bacterial small subunit ribosomal RNA", at positions 29 to 507 of the family's 1533-position model. The record is from RNAcentral.
AGUGAACGCUGGCGGUAGGCCUAACACAUGCAAGUCGAACGGCAGCACAGUAAGAGCUUGCUCUUACGGGUGGCGAGUGGCGGACGGGUGAGGAAUACAUCGGAAUCUACUUUUUCGUGGGGGAUAACGUAGGGAAACUUACGCUAAUACCGCAUACGACCUACGGUUGAAAGCAGGGGAUCUUCGGACCUUGCGCGAUUGAAUGAGCCGAUGUCGGAUUAGCUAGUUGGCGGGGUAAAGGCCCACCAAGGCGACGAUCCGUAGCUGGUCUGAGAGGAUGAUCGGCCACACUGGAACUGAGACACGGUCCAGACUCCUACGGGAGGCAGCAGUGGGGAAUAUUGGACAAUGGGCGCAAGCCUGAUCCAGCCAUACCGCGUGGGUGAAGAAGGCCUUCGGGUUGUAAAGCCCUUUUGUUGGGAAAGAAAAGCAGCAGGUUAAUACCCCGCUGUUCUGACGGUACCCAAAGAAUAAGCACCGGCUAACUUCGUG